Molecule: long non-coding RNA, 703 nt
Filed under: Phoenix dactylifera (date palm)
Lineage: Eukaryota; Viridiplantae; Streptophyta; Magnoliopsida; Arecales; Arecaceae
Description: long non-coding RNA (PDAC_LNC019248)
Source: RNAcentral
UCAAUCAAUAAGCUUGCAGCACGAAUAAGAACCACUGAUGAUAGCAAACUUACAGCUUAUGGACAAAUGCUUAAAGCACAAGGAACAAACUUAGAUACAAUGUAGACAAUUGGAUUCCAACCUUGGUUCAAGUUUGACCACAUCACAACUAUAUUUGGACCAAUGAGUAGGUUUAAGUCCAAACUCCAAAAUCUAGAGCUUUUCUAAACAAGUUAAAUACGACUAGUGAAAAUUGGCUGACCCAAUAAAUCUAAACCGAUUGGAGAGAGAAGGAAGCAAUUCUUUUAAUCUGCUCAACCUAGACCUCUAAAAGAAAAUAAUAACAAAAUAAUGAAAUUUCAGAAGCAGGGCUUUAGAACCUUUAUGCUUUCAUUAAUUCCAUAAUAAAACUGACUACAACAUCUCUAGUCAAGUCCUAAAAUCCAGUUAGAUUCCUAUACUAGUCAAAAUAUGUUAGGAUUUUCUGAAAAUAAUAAGUAACUAGUAAAAAUAAUUAUGAAAAGACUAAAAUGCUAAAGAGCUAGAUCUCGACUUUUACAUCAACUUAGCUUUCUAUUAUAUUGCCUAAAUCCUCCUAGAUUAGAAGAUAUAACCUAGUCAAAAGCUUCCAAAACAGAUAAACUUUUGUUUGAUUGGGCAUUUGGGAGGCUUAAAUAGUCUCAAAAUUUGUUGACUUGAUGAACGUCGAUGGUACCAUCCCAAA